AACGCUAGCUACAGGCUUAACACAUGCAAGUCGCGGGGCAGCAUUUUCCUAGCUUGCUAGGGAAGAUGGCGACCGGCGCACGGGUGAGUAACGCGUAUCCAACCUUCCCAUGUCCACGGGAUAGCCCGUCGAAAGGCGGAUUAAUACCGUAUGAGGUCACAAGCGGGCAUCUAAUUGUGACGAAAGGUUUUGCGGACAUGGAUGGGGAUGCGUCCGAUUAGCUAGUUGGCGGGGUAACGGCCCACCAAGGCGACGAUCGGUAGGGGUUCUGAGAGGAAGGUCCCCCACAUUGGAACUGAGACACGGUCCAAACUCCUACGGGAGGCAGCAGUGAGGAAUAUUGGUCAAUGGACGCAAGUCUGAACCAGCCAAGUAGCGUGCAGGAUGACGGCCCUAUGGGUUGUAAACUGCUUUUAUGCGGGGAUAAAGUGUGGGACGUGUCCCAUAUUGCAGGUACCGCAUGAAUAAGGACCGGCUAAUUCCGUGCCAGCAGCCGCGGUAAUACGGAAGGUCCGGGCGUUAUCCGGAUUUAUUGGGUUUAAAGGGAGCGUAGGCUGGAGAUUAAGCGUGUUGUGAAAUGCCGCGGCUCAACCGUGGCACUGCAGCGCGAACUGGUUUCCUUGAGUGCGCUGAAAGUGGGCGGAAUUUGUGGUGUAGCGGUGAAAUGCUUAGAUAUCACGAAGAACUCCGAUUG
This 694-nucleotide ribosomal RNA is filed under the name uncultured bacterium. RNAcentral's name for it is "bacterial SSU rRNA". It matches the Rfam family "Bacterial small subunit ribosomal RNA", at positions 32 to 715 of the family's 1533-position model. The record is from RNAcentral.